Molecule: unclassified non-coding RNA, 159 nt
Filed under: uncultured Ascomycota
Lineage: Eukaryota; Fungi; Ascomycota
Description: sequence contains ITS2
Source: RNAcentral
CGAUCCUCAAGUUUUAACUUGGUGUUGGGUGAAGUCCCUUAGGGGGGACCCACCCUUAACUUGUAGGCGGUCAUCGCCCUUUUCCUUCAGCGUAGCAGGCUAAACGCACUCGCUCAAGGUUAGGCAGUUUGACUCGCUAAAUAAAAACCUCUUUUAAAG